CUCAUUGGCAAAGACCCUGAUGCUGGGAAAGAUUGAAGGCAGGAGGAGAAGGGGACGACAGAGGAUGAGAUGGUUGAAUGGCAUCACCAACUUGAUGGACAUGAGUUUGAGCAAGUUCUACUCGGAUAGUCAAGCCCAUCUGAACCCAAGUAUUGCCACGGUGACACUGUGCCCAGUGAUGGAAUUCUGAAUUAUACGAAAGUUAUCCCAGGGCCUGGAACACCACAGACGCUCAAUAAAUAUUGGUUGGAAUGCAAACUUGAAAGGAGGCUCAGAGACAUGAAGAAACUUCUCCAAAGUCACACAGCUAGCAAGUAUCAAAGCUAGAAAUUUAAAAAUACAUCAUAAAAC
Molecule: long non-coding RNA, 351 nt
Organism: Bos taurus (domestic cattle)
Lineage: Eukaryota; Metazoa; Chordata; Mammalia; Artiodactyla; Bovidae
Source: Ensembl